AACACUGUUAACCUGCGGUACCUGCGGAAGGAUCAUUACAGAGUGUUUAGCCCCCUAUAAAAUGGUGGGUCUAACCUCCCGUCCUUUGCUGGGUCCCCCUUCUGGAGGACUUUCAAAACUUUCUGCUUCGGCGGGGUAUACCCGCCGGAACACCCUCAAAAAAUUCUUGAUCAAAAUGGUUCGGUCCGAGAAACUUUUUGUGAAAAUUAGCGAAAAACUUUCAACAACGGAUCUCAGAUC
RNAcentral lists this unclassified non-coding RNA (240 nucleotides) under soil metagenome. Its description in RNAcentral is "partial contains 5.8S ribosomal RNA, internal transcribed spacer 2, and large subunit ribosomal RNA". The record is from RNAcentral.